UCAGUCGACUCCUACGGGAGGCAGCAGUGGGGAAUAUUGCGCAAUGGGCGAAAGCCUGACGCAGCAACGCCGCGUGUGGGAUGACAGCUUUCGGGUUGUAAACCACUUUCAGUGACGACGAAAUGACGGUAGUCACAGAAGAAGGUCCGGCCAACUACGUGCCAGCAGCCGCGGUAACACGUAGGGACCAAGCGUUGUCCGGAUUUAUUGGGCGUAAAGAGCUCGUAGGCGGUUCCGUAAGUCGGAUGUGAAACUCAGGGCUCAACCCUGAGACGCCAUCUGAUACUGCGGUGACUAGAGUCCGGUAGGGGAGCAUGGAAUUCCUGGUGUAGCGGUGGAAUGCGCAGAUAUCAGGAGGAACACCAAUGGCGAAGGCAGUGCUCUGGGCCGGUACUGACGCUGAGGAGCGAAAGCAUGGGGAGCAAACAGGAUUAGAUACCCUGGUAG
This 447-nucleotide ribosomal RNA is filed under the name uncultured bacterium. RNAcentral describes it as "bacterial SSU rRNA". It matches the Rfam family "Bacterial small subunit ribosomal RNA", at positions 328 to 793 of the family's 1533-position model. The record is from RNAcentral.